RNAcentral lists this ribosomal RNA (411 nucleotides) under Triticum aestivum (bread wheat). RNAcentral describes it as "partial small subunit ribosomal RNA". Lineage: Eukaryota; Viridiplantae; Streptophyta; Magnoliopsida; Poales; Poaceae. The record is from RNAcentral.
AUGAGAUCUUCUCUGGUUGAUAUCACAACUGCCAUUUUGAAAAAGGGUAACAUGUUGAGCAGAAGCUGGUCAUCUGAUCUUUUGUGCUCCUUUUGUAUUGUACCUCAAGCUAUUCCUCAGAUCUUUGUUCAAUGUGUUCCUCCUAAAUAUACAUGGGAAGUUACUGAUAUGGCAAUUGGUGCUGGUUUUCGUCAUGCCAAAACUACUACUGAGAUUGUGGUGAAUGUUUCCAUGUGCAGCAAAGUUGGUGCAGCGAUGUUGCAGCGUGUUUGUUAUUUUACUGUUUCAUUGCAACUUCAAAUAAUUUCAAAUCCCAAAGCUACUAAAGUAGAUGGCUAUCAAGUACUCUCUCUUUUUUCUUCAAAAAAAGUUAAAUACUCUUGUCUGUCCACGCUUUCGAAAACUCCGUAG